RNAcentral lists this ribosomal RNA (327 nucleotides) under Triticum aestivum (bread wheat). Its description in RNAcentral is "partial small subunit ribosomal RNA". The record is from RNAcentral. Lineage: Eukaryota; Viridiplantae; Streptophyta; Magnoliopsida; Poales; Poaceae.
AUGAGUAAUUUAUUUGACAUACAUAAAUAUAUAUAUUUUUGUAUACGUGGAAUAUAUUACAAGAUCCAUCAUAAAAUUGAAACAGCAUCAAGGCUCUUUGAAGUCAUAAUAUCCAGCAUCACCUUCAAAUGUCGACGUUCUACCAUGAUUGUGCAAUAUAUUUCAAGGCCCAUGAUAAAACUGAAAGAGCAUCAAGGGUUUUACAGGUCAUGGUGGCUGGGUUUUGCUGGCGUUGUGGUCCAUGCAUACCAAUUCUUUGAAUCAGUGCCACCGUGCAGUGAUGUAAGAAAAAAGUGUGUCGUUUGUCGACUGUGGGCAAUGGAGUGA